RNAcentral lists this long non-coding RNA (255 nucleotides) under Lathyrus oleraceus (garden pea). Its description in RNAcentral is "Pisum sativum (pea) long non-coding RNA (PSAT_LNC014218)". The record is from RNAcentral. Lineage: Eukaryota; Viridiplantae; Streptophyta; Magnoliopsida; Fabales; Fabaceae.
GAUUUAAAUUAGGGAUAACGUUGGGAUAGAGGAUAUAUCUUAUUACAUUCUAUUUAAUUUUCUUAAUUAAAUUAAACUAUAUUUUCAAAUCAAAUGGGAGAAGGACAUGAGAUACAAACAUGGGAUAAAGUUCUAGGAAUUUUCAAGGGGUAAAAUUAUGGACAAAAUUAGGGAUAAGGGUUAUGUCUAAAUAUUCGAUUCUAAUCACUAAUUUAUUUUCUUAAAUAAAUUAAAUAUUUUUAUUUUAUAACACAA